AGGAUCCACUGUUGGUGUCCCUGUGGCCCAGCUGGAAGAGAUGGAGUCUCCCUGUGUUGCCCAGUCUGGUCUUGAGAGCUUCAGUUUUAAAUAAUAAAUUGUUCUCGUCUUUCUAAAUUUCAAUCAAAACACAGGAUGUAUUUUAAAAGGGAAAAACUGUGAGGUAAAAGAAUAGGGUGAGGGGAGGAAAGAAAUAACUUCAUAGAGAAAAAUUCAAUGAACCCUUGGAAGAAAAUAUAUGGAAGUAUGGUUACUGACUUGGGAAAGAAGAGAAAGGUACAAUGUAACUGCACAUAGAAGCCAGUCCUGAAAAGAAGCAAGCCGGCUGAAGUUAUCUGCAACUCAGAAGCACUUGGUACCACCCAAGGGGAGAUAAGAGGAGAUCUCAUCAGAGGUGCCUGAAAAGCACCUCAGCCGAAGGCCUCACAUAGAGAGACCUAAGAAUGAAGGCACCUGGACUAGGAAUGUGAAUAUGUGAAAGAACAUGACCGGCCAGGGGCCCUGAGUUAUUGAAUGCAACCCCCUUCAGACACUGCAACACACAGGCUGUGCACCAAGCCUAGUAUGGGAAGGACAGCUUUUCUUCAUGAGGCCUGCCAGGUAAAGCCAGCUAUGAAACAGGAAGUUGACCUUCACCAGACACUGAACCUACUGGCACCUUGAUCUUGGACUUCCCAGCCUUACAAACUGUAAGAAAUAAAUG
RNAcentral lists this long non-coding RNA (703 nucleotides) under Homo sapiens (human). RNAcentral describes it as "HSALNT0380656". The record is from RNAcentral. Lineage: Eukaryota; Metazoa; Chordata; Mammalia; Primates; Hominidae.